UACGGAGGGUGCAAGCGUUAUCCGGAUUCACUGGGUUUAAAGGGUGCGUAGGCGGGUUGGGAAGUCAGUGGUGAAAUCUCCGGGCUUAACUCGGAAACUGCCGUUGAUACUAUCAAUCUUGAAUGUUGUGGAGGUAAGCGGAAUAUGUCAUGUAGCGGUGAAAUGCUUAGAUAUGACAUAGAACACCGAUAGCGAAGGCAGCUUGCUACACAAUAAUUGACACUGAGGCACGAAAGCGUGGGGAUCAAACAGG
This 253-nucleotide ribosomal RNA is filed under the name uncultured bacterium. RNAcentral describes it as "partial 16S ribosomal RNA". It matches the Rfam family "Bacterial small subunit ribosomal RNA", at positions 524 to 776 of the family's 1533-position model. The record is from RNAcentral.